CAGCCGCCGCGGUAAUACCGAGGGUGCGAGCGUUAAUCGGAUUUACUGGGCGUAAAGCGUGCGUAGGCGGUUUGUUAAGUCUGCUGUGAAAUCCCCGGGCUCAACCUGGGAAUGGCAGUGGAUACUGGCAAGCUAGAGUGUGUCAGAGGAUGGUGGAAUUCCCGGUGUAGCGGUGAAAUGCGUAGAGAUCGGGAGGAACAUCAGUGGCGAAGGCGGCCAUCUGGGACAACACUGACGCUGAGGCACGAAAGCGUGGGGAGCAAACAGGAUUAGAUACCCCUGUAGUCCCUGUCUCUUAUAC
Molecule: ribosomal RNA, 301 nt
Filed under: uncultured bacterium
Lineage: Bacteria
Description: partial 16S ribosomal RNA
Rfam family: Bacterial small subunit ribosomal RNA
Source: RNAcentral